AUUGAACGCUGGCGGCAGGCCUAACACAUGCAAGUCGAACGGUAACAGGAAGAAUCUUGCUUCUUUGCUGACGAGUGGCUGACGGGUGAGUAAUGUCUGGGCAACUGCCUGCUGGAGGGCGCUCACUACUGGAAACGGUAGCUACUACCGCAUAACGUCGCAAGCUCAAAGCGGGGUCCCUUCGCGCCCCCUGCCAUCGGUUGUUCCCGCAUGGGAUUAGCUCGUAGGUGGGGUAACGGCUCACCUAGGCGACGAUCCCUAGCUGGUCUGAGUGGCUGACGAGCCACACUGGUACUGAGACACGGGGCAGACUCCGACGGCAGGCAGCUGGGGGCGAUAUUGCAGAAUGGGCGCAAGCCUGAUGGAGGCGUGCCGCGUGUAUGAAGAAGGCCUCCGGGUUGUAAACUACUCUCAGCGGGGAGGAAGGGAGGAAAGUGAAUACCGCUGCUCAUUGAAGUUGCCUGCAGAAGAAGCACCGGCUAACUCCGUG
RNAcentral lists this ribosomal RNA (490 nucleotides) under uncultured bacterium. RNAcentral describes it as "partial 16S ribosomal RNA". It matches the Rfam family "Bacterial small subunit ribosomal RNA", at positions 30 to 507 of the family's 1533-position model. The record is from RNAcentral.